UACCAAGAGAUCAAGUUAUGUAUAUUAAGGUAAAAAGGCAGUUAAAUACAAGAAUUAAUUAUCAAUUUACUAAUUUCUUAUAGAAAGGUAAAAUUUAGAUAUAAGUGAAUAAUUUAAUGUAAGUUGUUUAGAAAAUUGAAUCUGCGACAGCCUUGAGGGAAACUGGGAUUAGAUACCCCAUUAUUCUUGGCUAUAAAUGAAUAAAGAUUUACCAGAGUACUAUGAAUCAAUUUAAUAAAAUUUAAAACUCAAAGAGCUUGGCGGUGUUUUAGACCUCUCAGGGGAACCUGUCUCAUAAUCGACAAUCCACGUUAAACCUAACCUCUAUUUGCAACUCAGUUUGUAUACCGUCGUCGUCAGGUAACUUUUAAAAAGCAAGAAGUUGGCAAAAAAAUUAUUUAAAUUUAAACGUCAGAUCAAGGUGCAGCCUAUGCAGAGGUGAGGAUGGGUUACAAUUAAAACUUAUAACUACGGAUAGAAUAAUGAAAGUUUUUCUAAUGAAGGAGGACUUGAAAGUAAAAUAAGUUACAUAAAUACUUUGAAUAAGGCUCUGAAACGUGC
Molecule: ribosomal RNA, 561 nt
Filed under: Marsupina bufo
Lineage: Eukaryota; Metazoa; Mollusca; Gastropoda; Littorinimorpha; Bursidae
Description: partial 12S ribosomal RNA
Source: RNAcentral